Homo sapiens (human) is the source of this 1359-nucleotide long non-coding RNA. Ensembl annotates it as long intergenic non-protein coding RNA 1192. The record is from Ensembl. Lineage: Eukaryota; Metazoa; Chordata; Mammalia; Primates; Hominidae.
GCUGGGAGUGGGAAAGAGGUGGCAUCGGCGGUUCAAGACUGAGUUUUCUAUCUCUUCAGUGCCUCUUUCAACAAUGAAGAUCAAACCAGGUUUUGUGCAAAUAUCUGCUGAGUGAACUACUUAUUUGAAAAUACAUCAUUGGUUAAUAUUCCCUUUUGCUCAUUGAAAUCUCAAAGACUACAGACCCCGCACAAGACAUUCUGACAUUCCCGUCUUUGAAAUGAAUGACAGCAAUGAUAAAUAUGGCUCACCUCCAGAGAUACAGAUCUCACAACUUCAUAUUUUUAAUAUAAAUUAUUAAUCUGAGAAGCAGAGAGAGAUAAGACCCAUGAUAAUCAAGCCAUAAACAGAUGCAUUUACUAGCUGAAUGGCCAACAAUGGAAUUCAACAAAUCCAUCUUGAGCACGGCAGCCAGGAGUGUGGUGCAAUUCCAUUAGAUGAAAGAGAUCUACACAUUCAGAAGCACAUGAUUCUUCCCCCUUCCAUGAUUCCAGUGGCCAAUAGACAAACUACAAUAAAGCCAUGCCCUGACUGGAUGUGCCUAACAUUUGUCUGGUGCUUAAAGGAGUUGGCUGCAUGCGUGGAAAUGUUGGAAAGUCACCAAAAAUAGUUCUCCAAGUCAGAAGCGGUGCAAAAGCUGCCUCAGCUCUUGGUGGAUUUUCAAUUUCUCCCAGCCAUCUCUGUUUCGCUAAAGGUUUCUGAAGACAGUGGAAUGCUGUUGAAGACACCACCUUGAUAAAACAAAAACAUCAGCCAAAUUAAAUUUAAAGGAGUUUAAUUGAGCAAAGAAUUAUUCAUGAAUCAAGCAGUCUUCCAAGCCAGAGUAGGCUCAAAUACUCCAGCACAGCCACGUGGUGGAAGAUUUAUGGACAAAAGAAGAAAAGUAACAUAUAGAAAAUGGAAAUGAGGGGAAGCUUUUUUCUCCUCCCCAUCCUGAUCACUAGUAUGAGAAGGGGUGCUAAUGGACCAGCCUUGGCCUUGCAGAUGAAGAUGAUGAAGGAAGAAGAUGUAUAAAGAACCUCUGAAAGAGUCCCAGUUUUACAUUUCAAAGUCUUUUUCCUUCUGUUGUUUAUUGUGUUGGGUUGGAGUGGAGGAUAUUUGAUGGAGAAUUGAUUCUGAAACUUGCCAAAAUAUGGAUAAUACUUUGCUCCUUUUCCAUUGUGGGUUAUCACAAAGAAGAGUUUCACUUUUAGUCAUCUAUUUACAGUCUAGAAACAGGAACAAACCCAAACCAAGCAGAAAAACAGAAAUAACCAAGAUCAAAACGGAACUAAAUGAAAUUGAAAUGAAAAAGUACAAAGAUAAAUGAAACAAAAACCUGGUUUAUUGAAAAGUUAAAUAAAAUUGAUAAUUCAAUGG